This 5858-nucleotide long non-coding RNA is filed under the name Lotus japonicus. RNAcentral's name for it is "long non-coding RNA (LJAP_LNC000351)". The record is from RNAcentral. Lineage: Eukaryota; Viridiplantae; Streptophyta; Magnoliopsida; Fabales; Fabaceae.
UGCGACCACCGUUCCAUUCGCCAUCGGCUGUGACAUUGUCGAGGAUUCGCAGGCCUCCCCUGUAGCUCUCUCUGGUUUUUCCAUUGUGACGCAUAUGGUAAGAUUUUUAAACCAAUUUCAUCACUGUUUCCAUGCAUAGUUAACAAGAUGUGAAACUGGACUUCAUGGAAUUGAUUUCUUUGGUGAUUAAGCUGAUUUCCCCUAAUUGAUUCUAGCAUAGUAGCAUUUUUGAAUAUUUUCUUAGGUGUUGUAGUGACCAAUUAACCUUAUCAACCUCUAGCAGUAACUACAAUAGCCAAAUAGAAGACAAAAAUGCCAUUACUUCUUCUGUUGGUUUAUUUCCCACAACUUCACCAUACUUCUAUUCUGAUGCCAAUUUUGCUUAUAAUGAGUGUUUAUCGAGAAUAUCUGAAAUCUAGAACUAGGCGCCAAAAAUAUAGAGAUUAGCAUAAAUGUGGUGAGGAUUGUCUAGUUACGAAUUUGGGACUGGUGUGGCCUAAUUCAAGGUUUGCUUGUGGAUGAUGGUACCUUGUAAACAACUUAAUUUACUUGUGAAUCUGAUAUGUUUGUUGAUAAUUGAAGAAGCAGAUAAGUGGUAGGAUUUAGAAAUAUUAGAAGUGGAAUGCAUGGACUAGUAAAACCGUAUGGUUUAUUACAUUGAUGGUUAGUACAACACUUAAGUCUUAGUGUUGCCACACAUACAUGGUGAGGCACUAAUGCCUAUUUAUAGCUGGAGUCACCGCCUUGAUUUUGGCGGUUUAUUAUAUGAUACAAUUGGAUCAUUCUAGAGUUUAGAAACAUCAAAAUAGUCUAUGUGCUUUCUAUAAUAGUGUAGAUUUUAAAAGAUAAUUCUAGAAAUUUGCAUCAAUUCUUAACAAUGUUUAACCUCUUACAUUUUCCUUCAAUGUAUACAUCUUAGCAAGCUAUCUCUAUGGUGGAGAUUUUGUAUGAUAAUUCGAUUAGCUCAUUAAGUUAAUUCAAUCAUGUUUCUGGGAAAUAACUUUUUGGUAUUUAAAUUAUUUCUGUAGCAUAGUCUUUAGGUUGAUUCUACUGCUUAAAUGAAAAUAUUCUGUCUGUGCUUUUUCCUUGCUUCAACUUGGGUGUGUGUUAAAAGCUUGCUCCUGUGGAUGUUGACAUGGCAAGGUUCUUGCUAACAAUCAGAAAUGUUUAUGUGCUCUUAUUUUAAAUGGUUGAACUCACUGGACAAGUUUUUGAAGUAAUAAAGUAAGAAACAAUUUUUUUAAAAAGGAUAUAAUUCUUGAAGAAGUCAAUUUAAUGUGAAGCUUAAAGAUUAGGAGGAGUGAUUUCAUUUGAUUAGCUCAUAGUUCUGAGUUUAUCUAAUGCUGGUUAUAGGUAUUAUGAUUACAUUUACUUGUAUAGACUGACUAAUUUAUUUCCUAUAUACAUUAGACCCCCAAAGUAUAAGCAAGAUAUCACACACACAGAAAUGGGGAUGAUGAGAAGAAAAAGAAUAUUGUUUUUGUUUCUAAUGACCAGAUGAGGAAUUGGGUGAAUGAGAUAGAACAUUAUGCUAUUCUGGUCAACAUACUGGUCUGGUCAAAUCUAAAAUCUUGUAGGCCACCUUUGAUCUGGGGUCUGUUAUGAUCGUGAAAGAUUAGCAAACCCUAACAUUGGUAGUUGCUUUGUUUCUUUGUUGGUUGUAUGUUUCUGGCUUCUUUUGAUAUGAAAAUAUUAUUUUUUGCAAGAGUUAAUCGCUUUAAUAUUUUUUUUCAGUAACACCUAGCAAAUUGAAAUGAGAGAGUUCUGCUUUGAAUUAUCUAUUUGGUUGGCAGUAAUUAGUAUGUCUAUGAAAUUUAACUUUCUCUGUUUUCCUUGGACUUCAUGGCAUAAGAAAAGUUCACAUAGGCGGUUAAAAAGGCAUAAAGCCACAUAAAAAUUAACUUGAACUCUUUGGCAUUUAAUUUAUCUUCUUUUCUACUUUCAGUACUCUAUGAAGACCCGGAACUUUAAAAUUAGAGCCACAUGGAAAUUUCAUCAUCCUAGAGACCAAGUUGGGAACUGAGAUCGCUGGAAGAGUUGCCUUAAGCAUUUUCACUGUGGUGUGAGAGUGUUGGCGGUUCACAGUCAAUGAUGUCAUGCUCAUAUCAUGGUCACUUCGGGUAAUUAACUUCAAAUAUUUUCAUUUUCUAUUUGCUUAUAUAUAGUUUCAUGAGAAUUUCUCAAAACUUAUGAAAAAGAUGGGAGUGUUUAGGUCACGGGUUCUUAAAUUAAGGUCUUGUUUUCUAGUUGUCGGUAUGUUUGGAUUGACAGAACAUAACAGAGCAGAACGAAUUGAAAUAUAAUGGAACAGAUAGAGCGGAAUGAAAUGGAAUAAAAAUCUCAUCCCAUUGUUUGGGUAUUUUAUGAUAACACGAAACAAAAUCACCACUCCCUUAUUUGGAUAAUGGACGGAGCGGAAUGAGUUAUAACUUUUUUAUUCCUAUAUUACCUUUCUUUAAAUAAUAAAAUUCUCAUUAAAUUAUUAAAAUGAUUAACAAAAUAAUUUUUUAGAGGAAUUAACAAAAUCAUUAUCCUUGCUAAACUCUCAUUAUAUCUAUUUACUCAAAUUAAAUUAUAUCCUCAUCAUUUAUCUACAGUAAACUAUACUAGUAUAUGCCAAUAUUUUUUUAUAAAACGUACUGAACAUAAUAGAACACUAUCGAAAAAAGUAAACGAAAAAUAAAAGAAUGCAACAGUUGGAAAAAAAAAUAGUUUGUUGACAAAUAAAAGAAUAUGUAUACAUUAGUAUUAAUAAUUAAAUAUGAACAGUAUCAUUAUAUUACCUUUCGUAAGCUGUAAUGUUUUAUUUUUGCUAGAUAUGUUAAAAUAAUGUUGGAACUUGGUUGUUUGUGUGAGGGGAGAGAGUAGAGACUCACGGAGAGAGAGUGGGAGAGAGUGGGAGAGACUAUUAAGUUAAGGGCUAGAAAUCUAGAAUUGUAAAUUGAUAAUUUUUAUAAGUGUAAAAUCUUGAUUUCAUCCCAUACCUUCCAAAUUGAGGGAAGCAAAAUGAUGGAAACUAAUCUCAUCUCAUUUCCAUCUCAUCCCACCUUUUCAUAACAUAUCCAAACAAUAGAACAUAAAAAUAUUUCACUCCAUCUCAUCUCACCCCACUCCCUGCCACCAAUCCAAAUAUAGCCUAAUGAUGGCAUAGUGUAUAUUUGACUGUGGAUAAAUGAUGAAGAUAUAAACUAAUUAGAGUAAAUAGAUAUGAUGAGAUUUUAGCAAGGUAAUUAUUUUGUUAAUUAUUUUUGUAGUUUAAUGAUAAUCUUUUAUUUUAAAGCAAAGGUAAUGUAGGAAUUAAAAAGUUAUAACUCAUUCCGCUCCAUCCAUUAUCCAAAAAGGGGCGUGGUAACUUUAAUUUGUUAUGUUCCAUCAUUAAAUACCCAAACAAUGGGAUGAGAUUUUUAUUCCAUUCUGUUCUGCUCCAUUAUAUUUCAUUACGUUCCGCUCCGUUAUGUUUCAUCAAUCCAGCCUAAAUGUUUGCAUAGAUUAACACAUCACGAUAGCAAAAUAACAAUAUAAGGAACAAUGGCUGAAAAUGGUGGGUGGAUGGUUGACCAAAAAUAUGUAUACUGCAUGUUUGCACAAACUAUAUAUUAAUUAAUCAGGUUCUAGUACUUUUUGAGAUAAAUAUGUUGAGAUUGAUACUUUGAGACACUAUUACAACACUAGUAGCAGAUUAGGUAGACCAUCACAACACGUUCAACAGAGGAAUAUGUAGCAGCAAAUGCUAGGAUAAGCUAACUUCAAUUUUAGAAUUGAGAACUUAAUUUUCAAGUAUACACUAUUUGUUCCCCUUCUUCAUGUAACUUUUGUCAUGGACAUGAUUAAAGUUGUAUAGUGCAAUUUCUCAAACUCAAUGGCUUGUGAAAUCUUGUGUGCAAACCUUGAGAAUAAUUCAUCCAUGAUACCUUUGCCAAAUGCGGCAGAGUAAAGUGGUUCCACGACGGAUCUGAGGGUCUUGGAAAUUAACUCUCCUUUAAUUUUGGUAUCCAUGUCAUGUGGAAGGUGUCCAUCCAAACUUAUUUGGAUAGUUUUCAGUGUUUGAAGGGUAAAAGAUCCUUCUGCCUCAAUUAUUUGUUUGACUUCCUCCACAGUAGGAAUAUAUAUAGGCAUAUUAAAGCAAUCUAAUUUAGUCUCUUCAAGCAAACCCUGCAUUUAUAUUAAUUUAUAGGGAACAAUAUUAGUUACUACCAAAUAGGAAUAACAUGUUAUAAACUACAGAAAAACAUUACAUUCCAGUUAGUUUCUUGAAAAUCUAGUAAUAAUGGUAAUCAAAAUUGUAUUCGUUGCAUACCUCCAAGACCAUGUCCUUCAGUACCAACUCAAUUAAGUCCUGCGUAGUACCCUUUUCAAAUGCAGCAUUUUCUCUUCCCAGUAAAGAUAGUACCAUACUUCCAUCAAGUGUUAGUUCGUUCGAACGUGAUCGAAGAAAUAGAUUGAAAUCUCUUUGGAAUUGCUCAAAAUAUGCUUUAUACACUAUUUUAGGACUUUUGAUUGUUAAAUAAAUAUGACCCUUGUUCAGUGGUUCUGCCCCUUUAGUCAAUUCUUCUGGAGACUGUUCCGGAAAAAGCAAUAGACACACACAAAUGAUAUUAUUUUGUGCUUUGCUUCACAAACACAACUUUAACAACUUUAAUAUAUAUAUUAAUAAAUACCUGCGAGAGCCAAUGAAGACUAUUCGAAGAAUGAAAGAAAUCGAUGUAAUUAUUAGGAAAGAGCCUCCCAUAGAAGUUCCCUGGAGUUGCAUUUAUAAAGCAUGCUCCAGCUUUGUCUCCCCUAUCUUGUAUCUUUUGGUAGAAAUCAGGAAGUAACUUGAAGAUACCAUUAAAAUCGUUUCCAAAAAGAUCACUAAGAUAAACUUGGAGUAUGGGCACCUCUUGCUUUGAGCCCAAUCUAGUUGUGUUGAUGACGCUCAUUAUAUCGGACACGACCAGAAGUGAAUUUGGUCCUGAAGAGCAUCCUAAAUCUGCCACUUUCAAAUUACUUUUAAAAGUGGUGUGAUGCAACAAUGUCUUAAUACUUUCUUCUAGUAUUGACUUCAUUUCAAAUAACACUUUUCUCUGCAAUAAAAAAAACUUGGUUACAACAAUGACGACGCCAACAAUAAUAAGCCAAAUGUUAUCCCAUAAUCUUAGGGACAGCUGUGAUAUAAAAAAUUCAAAAUGAUGAUCUGUAGGUUAUUAGCUGAAUCUGUUUUAUUUUGGCAUUCCUUGAGAUUUUCUCUAUGGUGUUAUGAUGUUAUAGGGAUGCCAUUUUAGAAACUGAGGUUUAUUUUGAAAUUUUUUGGGGUGGUGUUUUGGAUGAGAUUUUAUUGUAUAAGGUUGUAUAUCCGUCAUGAGAAUGGUUGUUUCUCAUGUUCUCUUAAUUUUAUGAAUAUAACUCUUGCUUUAAAAAGAAUUAUUUUUCAAUAAAAAAUUAUAUUUUCUAUAAUUUUUUUACCAGAAGUUCGAGGGAGAGUAGAAGUAGUAACAAGAAGAGAAUGCAUACAAUGGAAAAGUUCAAGGGAGCAUAUGAUUAUUGAGUAGGCAGCUGAGGUUCUUUCUCCCUUGAGAAAUUAAUCCGGUAAGUUAAAUAUUAAUUCGAUCUCUUUACUUACUAUUGACACCAAAAUAUUGGCUGAUGCAGAAUGGUUGUAAACUAAUUUAAUCGAGUCAAGGUUAGCUCAGAGCAGACAAGUUUAUUUUUUAUAUGCUAAAUAAUGAUAUUAAUGUGGAGCACAAGGGGUGCCCCAUCCGAUACAAAGGAAAAACAAAAGUCUAAAUAACAAGAAACAUCCUACAGCGUUCAAAUGAAGUAAAAAUCACAUACUCUAUAAAACUGACACAUUUCAACGGGCUUUGCCAACAAAUGAGAAG